UCUGGCCUGCCAGGACACACCAGUUACCAGGUUCAGAUCACACACACUGUACUGGAGGACACUGCUGCAGGGGACGGUCUGACUGACCCAGAUAAACACCAAUCAGAGAGGAGACUGUGCUGCAGGGGACGGUCUGAUUGACCCAGAUAAACACCAGUCAGAGAGAACACUGUGGUGAAGAACAGGGGGAAGGGGUGAUGAGGGAAGAGGAAGGAGAGGAGUGGGUGGAGGACAAGGUUUCCACUGGAGCCAGAGAGAGAGAGAGCCCAGAACAGAGAAGAGCUAAUGGUUAGAGGUCAAUUUGUUUUGUUUUGUUUGUUUGAGUGCAUGGAGAAGAGACAUUAAUUCUGUUGAACCAGAGAGAGAAGACUGGUGGAUCGAGGCAGGUUUAAACAUCCAGUUCAACCAGAGAGAGAAGACUGGUGGAUCGAGGCAGGUUUAAACAUCCUGUUCAACCAGAGAGAGAAGACUGGUGGAUCGAGGCAGGUUUAAACAUCCUGUUCAACCAGAGAGAGAAGACUGGUGGAUCGAGGCAGGUUUAAACAUCCUGUUCAACCAGAGAGAGAAGACUGGUGGAUCGAGGCAGGUUUAAACAUCCUGUUCAACCAGAGAGAGAAGACUGGUGGAUCGAGGCAGGUUUAAACAUCCUGUUCAACCAGAGAGAGAAGACUGGUGGAUCGAGGCAGGUUUAAACAUCCUGUUCAACCAGAGAGAGAAGACUGGUGGAUCGAGGCAGGUUUAAACAUCCUGUUCAACCAGAGAGAGAAGACUGGUGGAUCGAGGCAGGUUUAAACAUCCUGUUCAACCAGAGAGAGAAGACUGGUGGAUCGAGGCAGGUUUAAACAUCCUGUUCAACCAGAGAGAGAAGACUGGUGGACCGAGGCAGGUUUAAACAUCCUGUUCAACCAGAGAGAGAAGACUGGUGGAUCGAGGCAGGUUUAAACAUCCAGUUCAACCAGAGAGAGAAGACUGGUGGAUCGAGGCAGGUUUAAACAUCCUGUUCAACCAGAGAGAGAAGACUGGUGGAUCGAGGCAGGUUUAAACAUCCUGUUCAACCAGAGAGAGAUGACUGGUGGUCCGAGGCAGGUUUAAACAUCCUGUUCAACCAGAGAGAGAAGACUGGUGGAUCGAGGCAGGUUUAAACAUCCUGUUCAACCAGAGAGAGAAGACUGGUGGAUCGAGGCAGGUUUAAACAUCCAGUUCAACCAGAGAGAAGACUGGUGGAUUACUUGUGUUUCUCUCAGUCACCUUCCUCUAGACCAGGGGUGUCAAACUCAUUCCAUGAAGGGCCUAGUGUCUGCUAGUUUUUCCUUUCAAUUAAGACCUAGACCACCAGGUGAGGGGAGUUCCUUACCAAUUAGUGACAUUAAUUAAUCAAUCAAGUCCAAUGGAGGAGUGAAAACCUGCAGGCACUCGGUCCUCCAUAGAAUGAGUUUGACACCUGUGCUCUAGAUCCUUCAAACGCAACUCUGGACCACCAAGCCAGUUCCACUGCAUUGUUUCAUUGUUCCCCUCUAACCAGGGACUGAUUUAGACCUGGGACACCAGG
This is a long non-coding RNA of Oncorhynchus keta (chum salmon), 1549 nucleotides long. RefSeq lists it as uncharacterized. The record is from RefSeq and is a predicted model, not a curated record. NCBI's taxonomy places the organism in Eukaryota, Metazoa, Chordata, Actinopteri, Salmoniformes, Salmonidae. The transcript has 4 exons.